UAGGGAAUAUUGGGCAAUGGGCGAAAGCCUGACCCAGCGACGCCGCGUGUGCGAUGAAGGCCUUCGGGUUGUAAAGCACUGUUGUAGGGGAAAAUUAUGAUGGUACCCUAUCAGAAAGGACCGGCCAACUUCGUGCCAGCAGCCGCGGUAAGACGAAGGGUCCUAGCGUUGUUCGGAAUUACUGGGCGUAAAGCGGGUGUAGGCGGAUUUAUAAGUCAGGUGUGAAAUCCCGAGGCUCAACUUCGGAACUGCAUUUGAUACUGUAAAUCUUGAGUACUGGAGAGGAUAGCAGAAUUCCUGGUGUAGUGGUGAAAUACGUAGAUAUCAGGAGGAAUACCGGUGGCGAAGGCGGCUAUCUGGCCAGAUACUGACGUUGAGACCCGAAAGCGUGGGGAUCAAACAGG
RNAcentral lists this ribosomal RNA (404 nucleotides) under uncultured bacterium. RNAcentral's name for it is "bacterial SSU rRNA". It matches the Rfam family "Bacterial small subunit ribosomal RNA", at positions 355 to 776 of the family's 1533-position model. The record is from RNAcentral.